AACGAACGCUGGCGGCGUGGAUAAGACAUGCAAGUCGAACGAUGGCUGCAGGGUAGCAAUAUUUUGCAGUCAGAGUGGCGUAAGGGUGCGUAACACGUGGGUAAUCUGCCGUGAAGUUGGGGAUAACCCCGAGAAAUCGGGACUAAUACCGAAUGUGGUUGCCGGGAGGCAUCUCUUGGUGACCAAAGCUGGGGACCGCAAGGCCUGGCGCUUCACGAUGAGCCCGCGGCCUAUCAGCUAGUUGGCGGGGUAACGGCCCACCAAGGCUAAGACGGGUAGCUGGUCUGAGAGGACGACCAGCCACACUGGAACUGAGACACGGUCCAGACACCUACGGGUGGCAG
Molecule: ribosomal RNA, 344 nt
Filed under: uncultured Verrucomicrobiota bacterium
Lineage: Bacteria; Pseudomonadati; Verrucomicrobiota
Description: bacterial SSU rRNA
Rfam family: Bacterial small subunit ribosomal RNA
Source: RNAcentral